GAGAGAGGUCCAAGUCCAAGAUUUUUCUUUUAUAUUUUAUUUAUUUAUUUAUUUAUUUAUUUUUCAAAACACGUGGGCUUCGCCUAGCGAGCAUGACAGUUCAUGAACAAACUUUUGCUCCUUCAAGAUUACCAUUUUGACUGAUGAAUAGACCCCAUAUGAACAUGUUGGAAGUAUCUCAAGCCAUUCCCUUGUGUUGACUGAUCACCCAGAUAGGACCCACAAAGUGUCUUGGAU
RNAcentral lists this long non-coding RNA (237 nucleotides) under Lathyrus oleraceus (garden pea). RNAcentral's name for it is "Pisum sativum (pea) long non-coding RNA (PSAT_LNC004884)". Lineage: Eukaryota; Viridiplantae; Streptophyta; Magnoliopsida; Fabales; Fabaceae. The record is from RNAcentral.